UGAAAGUAUUCAGAUGAGAUAAUAGUGCUG
This 30-nucleotide non-coding RNA is filed under the name Homo sapiens (human). Lineage: Eukaryota; Metazoa; Chordata; Mammalia; Primates; Hominidae. The record is from RNAcentral.